UUGCUGGCCCUACAACCUGUUUCUGCCCUGGGACAGUCAUAACCAGCCAUCUGGAUCCUUACUGAGAUAUAGCAUGACUGAGUCUGUGAAUUGUAAGAGACUUCAGUGAUCAACUACUCUAAUGUUCCCCAAAAAGUCUGCUCUAGAUUGUACAAGGAGUAAGAAGGAGGAGCCGUGACCUUCCUCAGCAUCCCUUCCCACUGCAUGCUCACCUGGAAACUGGCAUAAUUGAAAAAAAUGUAUAACAUUUGCUCCCAAAACAAAUCAAUUCAUCUUUACUUAUAUAAGAAUGGACCCAAGAGUCGAAGAGGACCUUCACUCUUCCACUACAAGUAAACUAAAGUUUCAGUUAUACAAACAUGA
Pteropus alecto (black flying fox) is the source of this 363-nucleotide long non-coding RNA. RefSeq lists it as uncharacterized. The record is from RefSeq and is a predicted model, not a curated record. NCBI's taxonomy places the organism in Eukaryota, Metazoa, Chordata, Mammalia, Chiroptera, Pteropodidae. The transcript is spliced from 3 exons.